RNAcentral lists this transfer RNA (69 nucleotides) under Gerres decacanthus (small Chinese silver-biddy). RNAcentral describes it as "tRNA-Ala". It matches the Rfam family "tRNA". From Rfam's summary of the family: Transfer RNA (tRNA) molecules are approximately 80 nucleotides in length. Their secondary structure includes four short double-helical elements and three loops (D, anti-codon, and T loops). Further hydrogen bonds mediate the characteristic L-shaped molecular structure. tRNAs have two regions of fundamental functional importance: the anti-codon, which is responsible for specific mRNA codon recognition, and the 3' end, to which the tRNAs corresponding amino acid is attached (by aminoacyl-tRNA synthetases). tRNAs cope with the degeneracy of the genetic code in two manners: having more than one tRNA (with a specific anti-codon) for a particular amino acid; and 'wobble' base-pairing, i.e. permitting non-standard base-pairing at the 3rd anti-codon position. The record is from RNAcentral. Lineage: Eukaryota; Metazoa; Chordata; Actinopteri; Gerreiformes; Gerreidae.
AAAGCCUUAGCUUAAUUAAAGUGUCUGUUUUGCAUGCAGAAGAUGUGGGUUAGUGUCCCGCAGGUUUUA